This 571-nucleotide long non-coding RNA is filed under the name Rattus norvegicus (Norway rat). RNAcentral describes it as "long non-coding RNA NONRATT030194". Lineage: Eukaryota; Metazoa; Chordata; Mammalia; Rodentia; Muridae. The record is from RNAcentral.
GCCCCCUCCGGGGUACUCCAUCCCCGUGCCCAGCCCGCUCUCACUUCCGAGGCCCAACCCGGUCCAGGAGCCCUGGAGGAGACCCUCUUCGCGCAAACAAGCCUCUCCAGCUUGGGCCCGUUUCCAAGAUCACAGACCCCUGAAAGCAUUUGCCAUCAACACCUCCAGUUCAGCUGAUGCCCUUCAAAGGCCUGGCUUCUGGCGCUGGGUGCCACCCAACAUUUGACCUUGGCACAGUAUCUACCCAUCUGUAGCCAGAGGCAGCUGAAACAGGGGCAUUCCAAUUGGGCCAACCACUGUAAAAUCCUGUGGGCUAAGUUUCCACACCGUUCCUCUGCCCAACACCCACCCCCACCCAGCUCUUCUCCAAACGUAGAGGACCUAUCUCACUUUCCAAGGUCAGAGAGAUCUUGGGAAAGGGCACCUGGACCCCAGUGUGUUUUCUGAGUCUCUGAAACUGGGCACCUAGCAUAGCCAUGCCCAUAAAAGCCUUGAAAAUGACAGUCAGUUUAAGCCAUGCCCCUACACCUUAGAAUACACAAAGGGAGAAGAACCGCGGGUCAGCAGAAGG